AACGAACGCUGGCGGCAUGCCUAACACAUGCAAGUCGAACGAGACCUUCGGGUCUAGUGGCGCACGGGUGCGUAACGCGUGGGAAUCUGCCCUUGGGUUCGGAAUAACAGUUAGAAAUGACUGCUAAUACCGGAUAAUGUCUUCGGACCAAAGAUUUAUCGCCCAGGGAUGAGCCCGCGUAGGAUUAGCUAGUUGGUGAGGUAAAGGCUCACCAAGGCGACGAUCCUUAGCUGGUCUGAGAGGAUGAUCAGCCACACUGGGACUGAGACACGGCCCAGACUCCUACGGAGGCAGCAUGGGGAAUAUUGGACAAUGGCGAAGACCUGAUCCAGCAAUGCCGCGUGAGUGAU
This 350-nucleotide ribosomal RNA is filed under the name uncultured bacterium. RNAcentral describes it as "bacterial SSU rRNA". It matches the Rfam family "Bacterial small subunit ribosomal RNA", at positions 29 to 409 of the family's 1533-position model. The record is from RNAcentral.